GGCCAGCCUACUCAGACUCCAGUACACAUUUUGUUGGGUUUUGUUUGUUUGUUUAUUUGGUUUGGUUUCCCCACUGCUCUUCCAGGAUUCUCUCCUUUUUGGGGUCCAUGUUCCAUCCUGAGCAGCUUUUGGAGUACUUUCUCUUAUCACCUCAAAGACCUGACUUCUCCCUUCCCUGAAGUAGUUCUGUCACCACUACUCAUAAGCAGAUGGAGAGAGAUGGAGUGGUGAAGAAGAUGCAGCAAGCAUUUGGUAUCCUUAAUACAAGACAUGGAGUAAGGUAGAGAACAUACAGGAGGCUGGACAAUGGACUUCCCAGUGAAGACCUCAUAGUUCAGCAACUACUGAUAGAGUCACUGUGAUGCUUCUGAGUCACCAGAGCACAGAACACUGAGGACCUCCACAACCUUCCUGUCCCCAACCAGAACCCCUUCAGGGGACAACACAGACCCUUACAAGCUCAAGUGAGAGUUUAUUUACUCUCAUGGUAAUCCACUAUUCGUCUAAUAAAUACAAAUACAG
Molecule: long non-coding RNA, 522 nt
Filed under: Mus spicilegus (steppe mouse)
Lineage: Eukaryota; Metazoa; Chordata; Mammalia; Rodentia; Muridae
Description: lncRNA (ENSMSIG00000006116.1)
Source: RNAcentral